Humulus lupulus (European hop) is the source of this 367-nucleotide long non-coding RNA. RefSeq lists it as uncharacterized. The transcript has 4 exons. NCBI's taxonomy places the organism in Eukaryota, Viridiplantae, Streptophyta, Magnoliopsida, Rosales, Cannabaceae. The record is from RefSeq and is a predicted model, not a curated record.
UACAGUUCCAGCCUUGUAAGUGCAAGUAAAGUUGAGAAAAAGGGAAAAUGGCAGUGACAGGUUCGAAUUCUGAGCAGCCACAGUUCAUUGCCAGCGCUGGAAAUCGAAGCUUUUCAUCUAAUGCCCCACUGAUUGAGAACUCUGAUGCUUAGAUUGUUGUUCCAGAUAGGACGAGCUGGAAAAUCUUCUUUGCUUAUCUGGGUCCUGGACUUCUUGUCUCUAUUGCAUAUAUUGACCCUGGAAAUUUUGAGACAGAUUUACAAUCUGGAGCAGAACACAAGUAUGAGCUACUAUGGAUAAUAUUGGUGGCUUCAUGUGCUGCUCUCAUCUUUCAAUCCAUGGCAGCCAACCUCGGGGUGGUCAUAGG